Molecule: ribosomal RNA, 440 nt
Filed under: uncultured bacterium
Lineage: Bacteria
Description: partial 16S ribosomal RNA
Rfam family: Bacterial small subunit ribosomal RNA
Source: RNAcentral
CCUACGGGAGGCAGCAGUGGGGAAUAUUGCACAAUGGGGGAAACCCUGAUGCAGCAACGCCGCGUGAGUGAAGAAGGAUGGAGGGAGGUAAAGACCGAGCAGCAGGGAAGAAGAUGACGGUAGCUGAGUAAGAAGACCCGGCUAACUACGUGCCAGCAGCCGCGGUAAUACGUAGGGGGGCAGCGUUAUCCGGAUUUACUGGGUGUAAAGGGAGCGUAGACGGUGAGACAAGUCUGAAGUGAAAUCCCGGGGCUCAACCCCGGGACUGCUUUGGAAACUGCCUGACUGGAGUGCUGGAGAGGCAAGCGGAAUUCCUAGUGUAGCGGUGAAAUGCGUAGAGAUUAGGAAGAACACCAGUGGCGAAGGCGGCUUGCUGGACAGUAACUGACGUUGAGGCUCGAAAGCGUGGGGAGCAAACAGGAUUAGAUACCCGAGUAGUC